RNAcentral lists this ribosomal RNA (253 nucleotides) under uncultured bacterium. Its description in RNAcentral is "partial 16S ribosomal RNA". It matches the Rfam family "Bacterial small subunit ribosomal RNA", at positions 524 to 776 of the family's 1533-position model. The record is from RNAcentral.
UACGUAGGGUGCGAGCGUUGUCCGGAAUUAUUGGGCGUAAAGGGCGCGUAGGCGGCCUGCUAAGGCGUACGUGAAAUCCCUGGGCUCAACCCAGGAACUGCGUCCGAUACUGGUUGGCUUGAGUCCGGGAGAGGGAUGCGGAAUUCCAGGUGUAGCGGUGAAAUGCGUAGAUAUCUGGAGGAACACCGGUGGCGAAGGCGGCAUCCUGGACCGGCAUUGACGCUGAGGCGCGAAAGCCAGGGGAGCAAACGGG